RNAcentral lists this ribosomal RNA (253 nucleotides) under uncultured bacterium. Its description in RNAcentral is "partial 16S ribosomal RNA". It matches the Rfam family "Bacterial small subunit ribosomal RNA", at positions 524 to 776 of the family's 1533-position model. The record is from RNAcentral.
UACGGAGGGUGCAGGCGUUAUCCGGAUUUAUUGGGUUUAAAGGGUGCGCAGGCGGGCUUAUAAGUCAGUGGUGAAAUCCUACAGCUUAACUGUAGAACUGCCAUUGAUACUGUAGGUCUUGAGUCUGGUUGAGGUAGGCGGAAUGUGUCAUGUAGCGGUGAAAUGCUUAGAGAUGACACAGAACACCGAUUGCGAAGGCAGCUUACUAAACCAGUACUGACGCUGAGGCACGAAAGCGUGGGGAGCGAACAGG